Molecule: ribosomal RNA, 2243 nt
Filed under: Mesodinium rubrum
Lineage: Eukaryota; Ciliophora; Litostomatea; Cyclotrichida; Mesodiniidae
Description: partial Eukaryotic large subunit ribosomal RNA
Rfam family: Eukaryotic large subunit ribosomal RNA
Source: RNAcentral
ACCGACAUCAACCUACCCGUCUUGUAACACGGACCGAGGAGUCUAACAUGCCCGCGAGUUCAACAUUCGAGAUGCUGUGCGCGCGAAAGCGGAAAGUAUUUCCCUACUAGCAGAGCGCGUAUGUUAGGUCCCGAAAAAUGGCGAACUAUUUCUGCUCAGGCUGAAGUCAUUGGAAACUUUGAUGGAAGGUCUCAACGGUUUUGACGUGCAAAUCGAUCGUGUGAAGCAGGUAUAGGGGCGAAAGACCAAUCGAGCCAUUUAGUUGCUGGUUCUCUCUGAAGUUUCCCUCAGGAUAGCGGUCCCUACAGAAUAAUGUGCGGUAAAGAGAAUGAUUAGAGGUAUCUGGGAGAGCUUCUCCUAGGCCGAUUUUCAAACUCAGAAUGCGCAUCGGCGAUUUCUCCAUGAAUUGUCGAAUUAUCUUAGGGAUCAGUGGGCCUUUUUUGGUAAGCAGAUCGGGCGAUGAGGGUUCCUCCUAGAGUCGAGAUAACGUGCUCAAAGCUACAUCAAUUAAAUGAUGUCAGUGCAUACUGACAGCAGGAGGGUGGCCAUGGAAGUUGGAAUCCACUAAGGAGUGUGUUACAACUCACCUGCCGAAUGUACUGGCUCAGAAAAUUGAUAGCUAACCAGUAGCAACUAAUUCUCGACGCUAAGUAAGAGAGCGUAGUGGUCGGACAGAACGUAGAGCGUGAGCCCUGCACGACCGGCCACCAUUGCAGAUCUCGGUGGUAGUAGCACUUGCUAAAAUGGAACCUUUUAGGACCACUUGGACGAAGGUUCCACGACAACAGCCAAUGUUCGUGGGUAAGUCGGCCUUAAUCGCGUAGUCGAGAAAAGCAACCUGGUUAACAUUCCAGGACAACACAGGAAAACGGCAACGUUUGUGCGGGUAUUUGUUAGAUGUUGGAAGGAAGGGGACUUUCGUCCCUUUUAACAGCUGUACGCCUCUGGAACUGUGUGAAACAGAGAUAGAGGCAGACACUGGAAUAAUUACCUCUUGCGGGUAAUCCUGAGCCAACAUUUGACCUCUGAAAAAUACCCGCAUUCUGUGGUGUAGCCGUACCAAUAGCCGCAUCAGGUCUCCGAGACGCAAAGUCUUCGGUUCAAUGGAUGAAUGUAAGCAAGGGAAGUCGACAAGUUCGAUCCGUAACUUCGGGAAAAGGAUUGGCUUCGUGGACUUAGUGAGGAAUGUCUGUCUUAGCGAGGAAUGUGACUCUACCGAGUUGCUCCGCCGCUGAGCACAGCAACCUCACUAACAAUACAUGAAACUGACGCGCAAACGAGGAAUCUGACUGUUUAAUCGAAACGUAGCAUCAUGCAGCGUGGUGUGGACAUGAUGUGAUUUCUGCUCAGUGCUUUGAAAGUUAAAGUUGAGCAACCGACAGAAGCGCAGGUCAACAGCGGGAGUAACUAUGACUCUCUUAAGGUAGCGAAAUGCCUCGUCAUCUAAUUAGUGACGUGCAUGAAUGGAGCAACGAGAUUCCUACUGUCCCUGUUUACUAUUCAGCGAAACCACAGCCAAGGGAACGGGCUUGGUACACACAGCGGGGAAAGAAGACCCUGUUGAGCUUGACUCUAGUCUGGAUCGGUUUGGCGACUUGUCAGGUGUAGCAUAGGUGGGAGACUUCGCCAAUGAAAUACCACUACUGACAUAGUUUCUGAACCCACGGUGUUCGUGCAGCGUCAGGAUGCAUUUUCACCGGCAAAUCCAGAUCGGGAGUUUGGCUGGGGCGGCAUAUCUGUUAAAAGAUAACGCAGGUGUCCUAAGACGAGCUCAGGCAGAUCAGAAAUCUGCCGUAGACUGACAGGAGAAAGACUCGCUUGAUUGUAGUCUCCAGUACGGACUACAAAUGCUAACGCAUGGCCUAUCGAUCCUUACGCGUUGACUUUUUCAGCUAGAGGUGUCAGAAAAGUUACCACAGGGAUAACUGAUUCGUGGCGACCAAGAGUUCAUAUCGACGUCGCUUUUUGAUCCUUCGAUGUCGGCUCUUCCUAUCAUUGUGAAGCAGAAUUCACAAAGUGUCGGAUUGUUCACCCGCUAAUAGGGAACGUGAGCUGGGUUUAGACCGUCGUGAGACAGGUUAGUUUUACCCUACUGUGUAACUCUAACAGUAGACCGUCUUAGUACGAGAGGAACAGGCGGCCGGCGUUUUUCGUAGUGGCACUGGUUGAAUAGCCACGUGCCUACACGAACACGCGUAGUUCGAUGACUGGAAGCCUCUAAGUCAGAAGGCAAUCUGUUAGAG